CAACAGGGAUUGCCCCAGUAACGGCGAGUGAAGCGGCAACAGCUCAAAUUUGAAAUCUGGCCCCUAGGGUCCGAGUUGUAAUUUGUAGAGGACGCUUUUGGUGCGGUGCCUUCCGAGUUCCCUGGAACGGGACGCCAUAGAGGGUGAGAGCCCCGUCUGGUUGGAUGCCAAACCUCUGUAAAGCUCCUUCGACGAGUCGAGUAGUUUGGGAAUGCUGCUCAAAAUGGGAGGUAUAUGUCUUCUAAAGCUAAAUAUUGGCCAGAGACCGAUAGCGCACAAGUAGAGUGAUCGAAAGAUGAAAAGCACUUUGAAAAGAGGGUUAAAAAGUACGUGAAAUUGUUGAAAGGGAAGCGCUCAUGACCAGACUUGGGCUUGGCGAAUCAUCCAGCGUUCUCGCUGGUGCACUUUGCCUUGUCCAGGCCAGCAUCAGUUUGCUGUGGGGGAUAAAAGUUUCAGGAACGUGGCUGCUCCGGCAGUGUUAUAGCCUGUUGCAUAAUACCCUGUGGUGGACUGAGGUACGCGCUCCGCAAGGAUGC
Molecule: ribosomal RNA, 536 nt
Filed under: Verticimonosporium diffractum
Lineage: Eukaryota; Fungi; Ascomycota; Sordariomycetes; Hypocreales; Hypocreaceae
Description: eukaryotic LSU rRNA
Rfam family: Eukaryotic large subunit ribosomal RNA
Source: RNAcentral